Molecule: long non-coding RNA, 1427 nt
Organism: Xyrauchen texanus (razorback sucker)
Lineage: Eukaryota; Metazoa; Chordata; Actinopteri; Cypriniformes; Catostomidae
Exons: 3
Source: RefSeq, a predicted model, not a curated record
AAGCGCAAGUGGGUUUUUGUGAUAUCACGCACGCAUGACGCCAGUCGAGUCAGCGGAGGUUCUUCUGCGGCACGUCUCCGUCCUAUUAUACAAAAUUGACUAUGAAAUUGAUAGAAUACAAAUGGAUUUAUAUGAUAUUGUGCGUCCUUGUUAAAUGGGACAUGCCAUCCAAUUUGAUACAUCUGCUCUACAGCGCUUGAAGAACAUUUAAAUGAGUCAUUGGGGUUGAGCGACAAGAAUAACUGUAGGUUAUUUGCACAGCGAGGAAAAUUGAUGUUGCAUUUUCAACAUUCACAGAACCAAGAGGUAGCGUGUGUAUAGAUAGAAAACUAAAUUGGCCCAAAUAGUGAUCCUUGCGGACGCCGUAGUUUAUUGUUGAAGAGGAGGACAUCUCAUCUCCAUCAUACACUACAAAUCUUCCAUUCGACAAACAGGAAACAACCCCAUUUAAAUCAUCCCAGAUAUUCCCAUCCAUCACUUCCAUCUCCGUCUUUAACCGAGGGGUGCGAGCGCAACUAUCUGAGUGAUUCAUUGAGUUGGUUUGGUUGUUGUUUGUCUGCAGAGGAUGUUUAAAGGUUUGUGUUCUCAGAUGAUGGUGUGAUUGAGCUUGAAGAUUAUUUGGUACAUGUGUUCUUCAGAUGCAUCGACUCAAAUCCCUGUUUCCACGGAGCCGCAGCAUUAAUCACAUCAGUGCUGUUUAUUGUCCCAGUUGCGUCUUUUUCGGAAGUCGGGACACUUUCUCAUCGUCUGUGUUAGUUGUGCAUUUGUUAAUACUUCACAUGACUCCGCAGCCAAGUCAGUGUAAACGUCUCAGACGCUAGUUUGCUAUCGCUCAGGCGGCGAGAGGAAGUGUCCCUCUAGUGGCCGUUUUAUAGUACUGCAUGCUUGCUCCAUCAACCAGUCUCCAAAACAAGCUGAAUAUUUACAUAUAUUAGUGAAUACGUUUUAAGAUCUCUUAUUUUAGUUUGACAUCAUCAAAAUCGACAUAAAAGCACAAUUGACCGUUUAUAUCCUUAACACACAUUUCUGGUUCUGCGAAUGAUUCGUCCACAGCCGGGUCUGUACAUUACGUUUAUGUUGGCGUAGUCAGAGUCACGAUUGAACUUUAUGAUGAGUGUAAACUACACCCCUUCCAUUUCCCCACUGACCCUAAUUUAUAGCAAACAAGUGUCACCUGAUGACAGGUGGGCGUGGCUGAGCCGUCAGGGGCAGGAACCAUUAAUCACCAGAUGAGCUUAAAGUGACCACGAUGCAUUUUCAUGUGUUUCUGUUUGUUAGGGUUUCCCAGGAGACAUCGGUGCGCCAGGGUCAAACGGCCCCCCAGGACCAAAGGGUCUACAAGGAGCCAGGGGCCCCCAGGGACCAUCUGGGCCAAAAGGAACGGAGGGAGACGACGGCCCCCCGGGCCCACCUGGACAGCCUGGUCC